This is a long non-coding RNA of Seriola aureovittata, 5230 nucleotides long. RefSeq lists it as uncharacterized. The transcript has 3 exons. NCBI's taxonomy places the organism in Eukaryota, Metazoa, Chordata, Actinopteri, Carangiformes, Carangidae. The record is from RefSeq and is a predicted model, not a curated record.
AGCUUCAACCUGAACAGCGGCCUAAUCAGAUUAAGUGAAAACACCUGUGUGUUUUGGGCCACCGGAUGGCAGAACUCAAGAAGCUAAAGUUUUAUCACCGUGUCUAACUGUUUUGGCUAGCUAAGUUGUUAGCAUGCAGUUAUCUACUUACCAGCAGAUGUGGACCAGCAUUAACACUCGUGGAGAUGUGUUCCUGUCCACCUGAUGAAGGCCGACCCUGAUGUGCUGACCUGCAGUUCAGACUUGGCCCUGGAGGAGGAGAGAGGAGAAAAGGCCUUUGAAGUGAAAUGGAUUCCCAUCAGCCGAAGAGCUUCAACAAAGUAGCAGCUCAAAGCUCCGAGAUGGAAAGUGACAGCAGUAGGUGCUGACUCUGCAGCUCAUUAGAGACCAACAGGGAGUCCUAUGGCCUCCAACUAGUGAGGAGGAAGAGGAGAAGUCUGUGACCCAGACAUGAAGGAAGACGCUGGGAUGAGGAAGCUAACUCUGCCUGGGUCCCGCUCUGCACACUGUCUACUGCCUGACAGCUUCAAACAGCUAACCCUGCAUUUCUCCCACACUUUGUCUUCUGUGGGAAUAGCUUUCAGGGAUAAUUAGCAUACACUGUGAAUAUCGCUCUGACACUGUAACUUUAUUGAAUGACAACAAUACAUCUUAUAGAAAAUGAGCUCCAGUGAAAGCUUGUCAGUGUCAGUGUCAGUAGCAGUAAUAGCUUUUGAGAUACUAGAUUUUGCUUAUGUUGAGGUCAUCGUAUGUUAUGGUAAAGCUUCCGGAUGCAUACUAAUAAUAAUCAGGAUAUACUAUACAGUGCAUUAUGCCCCUAAUUUACUGAUUUGGGAGACCUAGGCAAACUCAGGCAUGGGGCCUCUGUCGUGUCUUAUUUUCACCCUUUCUCCAGGUGAGAAUGUUUGAAGGUGUUAGACUGUUAACACCAAACUGUAAAACCCUGCAUUCAAAAUUUUGCUUAGCUGAAAGUCAAGUAUCAACACAAUUUACGUAGAGUAUCUUCAAAGUGGAGCUAGUUUUGACUAAUUUAUAUCCUGCAGGAUAGUUUAAUCUGUAAUAAUGUUUUUAUUGUAUUUGUAUCAUAUAUUUUGUGCGUAACAUAUGAAUCUACCAAAUAACCAGUAACAAACUGAUAAAUGCAGUGGAAUGAGUGACCUCUGAAAAUGAAGUGGUGGAAUAGCAUCAUAAUUUCAUAUGUUUUAUAUCAUAAAACAUAACAAAACAUGAAGAUAAAUCUCUUUGUUGGGUGAAGUCUUCCUGUGACCAUGGCCAUAGAGGUUUAAAAACUCCUAUUCCCUGAUGUUUCCCUGCAGUUUGCCAUGAGUGUGACAUUAGUGUGGCUGGUAACACUAAACUACUUCAGGCAAAACCUGUAUAAAACAUGAUGAAGUCAUUGCUUUCUGUAAUACACAUUAACAAUAUUGAUGGCGUACCUCUUCAGCAUCUGCGACGUCUGCGAGGAUUACUUUCCCUUCAGGCAAUAAGUCAUAUCAAGGUAGACUAUUAUCACAAUCACAGCCGACAAAGUGCUGGAAUGGGAACUUGACCAGCUGUGAGCGGAGGAGAAUGUGACCACAGACAGAAAGUUUGAUAUUGUACCUUCAAGAGUUUGUUUUAAAUGAGAUGUGAGUGAGAUAUGAAAGUAGAUACUUAUAGUCGCUGUUUUCAUUUUCGAAAAAUGAGUAUGCCGAGUAUGAGAGAAAGUGAGAAGGAGCUGAUUGUGGCUGUAGUGAUUAGAGAACAAAUCAAAUGUCAUCGAUUUUUCCUCCAUAAAACAUCCUUUUAGUCAAGUUAAGAGUAUCAUUUGAUUUUAUUUCCAAAGUAAAAUUGCAUCCAUUUCGUGGGUCUCACAGAUAUCAGAUAUUUUACUUCAAUCAGGUAUCUGCAGCGGCUCCGCUGACAGCAAACUAUCACCUAUUGGAGAAAUUUGAAAGCAUAUUAUAACAAAAUUACACGCCAUGUAACAUUAUCCGGCAUAACUCAAUGUUCAGACACAUUUUAGGCUUCAGUUUGGCCUGAAGGUGCGAUGAUGAUCAAGGAAGUGGGUUGAAGAAGGUCUUUUAAGCCUUAAGGCAACUUAGGAGUUGAAACUUAAUAUUACCAGAGUGCAGAUGGAGAUAACAGACACGGAUGAGUUAGAGAAGUUUUUUCUUAUGGUUUGAGCCACUUGGGAUGUGUAACUCGACAUCAGGCAGAUUUUGUACAUUCAACGCAGUAGCAUACAGAUUUCCUCGUAACCUGGGUCUGAAUGGCAAAAUUACAGUUACAGUUUUAUAAGGUUCGAAGGAGUAAGAGUGGGGUUUAAAAGGUCAUCAGUUUCACAGAAGUGCUAUAAUUGCCCACAGGGGUAAUAAACUAUCAUAUAAAUAUACAGAUUAGAACGUAUUAGUUUGCUGCUCACUAAGAGUGACUGAUGUAGUCUGCAUUGGUGUUAAUUUCUGCUGCUGAAUACAGAGGAAGUUGCAUGAUUUGAUAGUGUAGACAAACGGGGACUACAAUGCACAUAUUAAAUCCUGGAUGAAACAAGAUUGUGGCUGAAAGCUCGCACAUGAUACGACGCAGAGAAAUGGAGAGCAGAAAACACGGAAAUGAGGCUGGAUUCAUAUUGGCAGCGCAACAACAAACCCAUCGCUGACCCCCUUCACCGCCACUGCUUGCUACAUGUGAGAACUGUAAUCAGAUACGUACAGCGGUGUGUCAAGAAUUCAUUCAUAUUGAGCUGAAAGACCCCAAAAGUGCUCAUCAUCUCUCCAACCGGAGAGCACAAGGAAAAAAAACAACUACUACAUAAUAACACUCUGAAAUCCUCCAUUAUUCCAGCUGAGACAUCUGCUUCUGUAAUGAAACCAACAAACAAACAUGCAUAAUUCAAGCAGCCAGUCGGUUCUGCAUUGAGUGGAAAUGAGCAAAAAAACAAGAGUCCAAUAAUUAUUGCUGCGGAAAAAUGAUGGAAGUACCACACUUAGACCUAAACGGCCUUAUUUACACUCAUUUGUUAGGAGCAAUUCAGGAGGUUCACUUGUGUAGAGUGUGUGUGUGUGUGUAAAUAGUAAAUGGACUGCACUUAUAUAGUGCUUUUCUAGUCUUAUUGACCACUCAAAGGGGGGGUUUGUGUGUGUACAGAGUUUCUACUGCAGAUGGGAAAGUGCUAGUGUCUUUUUUUUUGAGGUUACAUAAGGUUAAAAUAAACAGUCUGUCUGAAAAUUAGGUGGAUAAGAGUUGGGGAGAUGUUGCAGCAGGGAAUAAAAUGUGGCGACUUGCCACACAUAGAAGAAAACAAGUAGUAAGUGUAGUAAAACAGGCAUAGACGGUGAGGAAGGGAUGCCAACAGACAUAGACACACACACACAUAGACUACAUCAACUUUCAUAAACCAUCCCUCUCCAUCAGCUUUGCAUACUCACUCGUCAGCCUCACUUGUUAUCUGUUACUGAACAACAUGCACUAGGGGAGUGAGAAAAACAGAAUAUGAAAAAUGGAAGAAAGGAAGUCAAGAGAGAGACAGGAAGAGGUGGGAGAGCAUGAAAAGAAAGAAGAGAAAACCAAGAGCAAAAGCUGUGAUGGACAGAGACCUCAAGGAGAUAGGGAGAGGAGAAAUUAGCCGAGACGGCCAAAAAAGAAAGAAAGAGACGAAAGGAUGGAGAAAGAAGAAAUCGACAAUUAAAGACAAAGAGCGAGGGGGAGAUGAAUUAUGCAUCGGUGUGACUAGAGGGCAGGAGGAAACCAAUCUUGAGGGGAGGAGAUGCCAGACUGAUACAAGCUCUGCUUAUCUCUAGAGUGACCUUCUCUACCUGUCCCACUCCUCCGCUAAAGGCAGUCCAACUGAAGACGGGAAAAUGAGAAAGAAAGAAAAGGCAGAAGAUGACUCCUGAAGAAAAUCAAAAAAAAAAAAAAAAAGCGUGUGAACUGCAGAGAGUGAGGAGUGGAGAUAAAAAUAGAAAGAGAGGGACUGAUGUGUGAAUCAAAGAUACAGUAUGCUAAAAAAGAGAUGGAGAAAAAAAAGUCGGGAAGACGGGGCUUUUAGGGAUGAGGAUUUUUAAGGAUAAGAAGCAGAGGAGAAUGAGUACAGAUGGGAGACGGGGGAGGUGCAGGGAGAAGCACCUUGACUGAGCGUGUAGAGGUGAGAGGAGAUGAUGAAGUUGAUUGCUAUCUUUCUAUCUUUCCUUGGCUUAAGUGAAAAUAUCACUCUCUGGUCGAGCACACACUCACACACUCCACAGACAAACAGACAGGUGCAUUUCUAACGCACAUUUAAAGGAGCACUUUUACAUGAGGGAUUUCUAUACAGUUUCACUUGUUAAGGGGCGGGGUUUAGUUAAAAACACUGAUGUCGCAUACUUCCCUGCACCAAUCAGGAUGUAGGAACGUGUGAAUCAGAAUCUGGCGACAGUAGGAGGGUCGUUCGGUCCCUGUCCGUCGAAUCUGAUCCCUGCACGGUCCAGAUGAAGCAGAUUAACUGAGAUUAUGAAAGAUCUGUCUUCAAAUUUAAAGCUGCUAUGAGCAAUAUUUUUAUAUUAACAAUGGAUCAUGUGGCUGCUUGUAUCUAAAAAGUUGGUCAAGAAAAAGAAAAAAGAAUUAGCACCUGUAUCUAGUAGUUUCCUUCAGCUCUACCAAGCAGUUUAGCAUCUUACAGCUCAUUGUUUUGGUUUUUCCAGCUUGCAGCUUUAAUGUUUCGCUUCACCCUCACUGUUUCCAUCAGCAUCGUCAUUUAGCAGCUAAAGAGCCAAACAAAAGAAUAAAUACUGGACUUAACAUUCAUCAGAUCACUAUAAACAGACUCCAGAUAAAUACUUAUGCUGCUCUGUAUUGGCUGGGUUUAUAAAUAGGCGCCAGAUUGCUAACAAGUUCACCAUAUCAGCUUGCAAGAUGAUAAUAUGUCAGUGUUGUGUUUACAGCUUCUUUCUGCUGCUCCCAAGUUAACCUCAAAAAUCUGUUAUUGCCAAUUUAAUGUUAAACAGAAACCAGACUUAAAACACACACACACACACACACAUAAAUAUUCAAAUCAACAUUCUGGUAGCUUCUUUCUGUUAACCCCGUAAUGAUCUCAUUUGAAUGCUGCUUUCUGUGAUUUCGUGGUGUUGGUGUCAUGGUUGCUCAAUACUUUACACUCACAGAAAUGAUGAAACAGUGUUGCUAGUUGCUGGUGCGUCUAAUGCCCUUAUAAUUUCAUGCAGGGACGCGGGAUAGCCAGGAAGGUUUUCUUUACACCGGGUGAAGCAAACAC